UAAAGUCAAAUUAAUUAGUUAAAACUAAUAAAUAAUUACUAUUAAGUACAACUCUACUUUUUAUUUUAAGAGUAAAAUCUUUAUGAAUAAGAUAGGAAUGUGUUAAUGUAACGUCAAUUCUCUUACGAGGCGCUUAUAUAAAGACUAGGAUUAGAUACCCUAUUAUGGGCGUGAGUAUAAGAGUUUAUUAAGUUAGUAGCCUUAAUUAAAGCAAAAUCUAUUUACUAUGGCGGCUGUUAGUCUCACCAGAGUCGUAUGUCCUUAAACGAAACCGCGCGACUAUCUUACCUUUUAACUUUUGCUUAUGUGAAAUAAUUACACUUCAGCAAUCUGGCACGUCGCUGUACUAAAAGUGAAGAUUUUAAAUAACUCAUCUUCUAAUUGUUUAUUAGUAAUUAUUAAUAACGUACAAGUCAAGACGCCGUUUUAAAAGGUUAAAAUGUACGAUUUAAUUGGUUUGAUAGAAUUGAUAAGAAUGAAAACUUUCUUUAUCAAAAUAAUUUGGAAGUAAAAUAAGGUCAUAAUUCUUAUUUGAAAUGAGCUACUAAUAAGU
This 553-nucleotide ribosomal RNA is filed under the name Pediculus humanus (human louse). Its description in RNAcentral is "partial 12S ribosomal RNA". The record is from RNAcentral. Lineage: Eukaryota; Metazoa; Arthropoda; Insecta; Psocodea; Pediculidae.